This 399-nucleotide ribosomal RNA is filed under the name Staphylococcus epidermidis. Its description in RNAcentral is "bacterial SSU rRNA". It matches the Rfam family "Bacterial small subunit ribosomal RNA", at positions 1135 to 1533 of the family's 1533-position model. Lineage: Bacteria; Bacillati; Bacillota; Bacilli; Caryophanales; Staphylococcaceae. The record is from RNAcentral.
GCACUCUAAGUUGACUGCCGGUGACAAACCGGAGGAAGGUGGGGAUGACGUCAAAUCAUCAUGCCCCUUAUGAUUUGGGCUACACACGUGCUACAAUGGACAAUACAAAGGGCAGCGAAACCGCGAGGUCAAGCAAAUCCCAUAAAGUUGUUCUCAGUUCGGAUUGUAGUCUGCAACUCGACUAUAUGAAGCUGGAAUCGCUAGUAAUCGUAGAUCAGCAUGCUACGGUGAAUACGUUCCCGGGUCUUGUACACACCGCCCGUCACACCACGAGAGUUUGUAACACCCGAAGCCGGUGGAGUAACCAUUUGGAGCUAGCCGUCGAAGGUGGGACAAAUGAUUGGGGUGAAGUCGUAACAAGGUAGCCGUAUCGGAAGGUGCGGCUGGAUCACCUCCUUU